This is a long non-coding RNA of Pan troglodytes (chimpanzee), 16237 nucleotides long. RefSeq lists it as uncharacterized. Lineage: Eukaryota; Metazoa; Chordata; Mammalia; Primates; Hominidae. The record is from RefSeq and is a predicted model, not a curated record. The transcript is spliced from 4 exons.
ACAGUCUAUUUAUUGGAGGAGAGAAAUGUAAACAAAUAUAACAAUGGAUGGGUGCUUUUAUAAGAUGUAAAUUCCCUUUACAUUAACAACAGUACAAAACAACUUUAACCCAUACCAUUUGGGAAGACAUACCAUCCAAAGACAUAUACUACUUGCUAACAGUUACAUAUGCGUGUCAUGUAAAGGAAAGUCAACUCACAUAAUUAAUCAUGGAAUAACUGAAUGGUUUAGAUGACACCUUAGAAGCUUUCUUCUAUCCCACUGUUUUCUGAAAUAACGACAACAACAAAAAGACACAUUAAAAAAAAAAAAAGAAAGAGGGUUGCAGUGGCAAGCACAGUGUCUGGAACACAGGAGAGGCUCAAAAAUAUUUGAAAAAUGAACAAAUAUAUUAAUAGCAAGACGGGGAAGAGGUUUUCCUAUUUUUUUCUAGUGAGCCUUGUUCACAGUGUUCAUUUUGGAACUCAAUUAGAGGAUCUCACAUCCUAGCUAUGAACAUGCUAACAUCUAUACGUGCUUCUAUGGUUCUGUGGGAAAAAAUGUGAAGGGUUUAUGAACAGGGUGCUGUGGAAGACUAGAUCUCCAUCUUCCCUGUAGCUAGGGGUGGCCAAUGAGUCAGAAAUGGAAAUUUUAGAGUGGGAGUUCCAGGUCAUGUUCUUAAAGAGAAUUGACUCGGAAAAAAGGUAGAUUCUUUUUUGCUUCAUUUUUCGCUGUUUAUCUGGAACACAGAUGUAAUUACCGGAGCUCCAGCAGCUAUACUGGGCCAUGAGACAAACUGGAGGAAGGAAAACUCCUGCUAGGAAUGACAGGGAGCAGAAAGAUAAAAGGAAUUUGGCUCCCUGGUGACCAUGAAGCCACCAAACCCAAACUUAGGCUGUCCACCUCUUGACCUCUUUCAUGUAGGAGAUGUAAAAUCUUUAUUUUGUUUAAGCCUAGAAUUUUCUGUUAUGCACAGCUGAGCCAAAUGCCAACUUAUACACUGUCAUUUUAUUGUUCUUCUUGGGGGCUUGACUGUCAGGAAUUUCUUUCCUUUUACCUUCCUUCAUAGCUUUCCCUGCCACCAGCCCUCCACCUAUCCUUAAGUCCAGGGGUCGACGAACUUUUUCUUUAAGGGCAACACAGGAACUAUUUCAGGCUUUGGGAGCUGUAUGAUCUCUAUUGCAUACUCAGAGCAAACCUGACUUGCUAUUGUAGUGCAAAAGCAGCCACAGACAAUACAUAAACAAAUAUGUGUGGCUAUGUUCCAGCAAAACCUUAUUUAUAAGAACAUGUGGCUGGGCUUGGUGGCUCACGCCUGUAAUCCCAGCACUUUGGGAGCCCGAUGUGGGCAGAUCACGAGGUCAGGAGUUCGAGACCAGCCUGGCCAACAUAGUGAAACCCCAUCUCUGCUAAAAAUACAAAAUUAGCCCGGUGUGGUGGCACACGCCUGUAAUCCCAGCUACUCAGGAGGCUGAGGCGGGAGAAUCACUUGGGAGGCAGAGGUUGCAGUGAGCCGAGACCAUGCCAUGCCACCGCACUCCAAUCUGGGUGACAGAGUGAGACUCUGUCUCCAAAAAAAAAAGAACAUGCAGCUGGCUUGCAGGUCCAUUUGCUGACCUCUGCUUUUUUUUCUCUGAGACAGAGUUUUGCUCUGUUGUCCAGGCUGGAGUGUGGUGGUGUGUCUGGAAUUGGUGGGUUCUUGGUCUCACUGACUUCAGGAAUGAAGCCGCAGAACCUCGCAGUGAGUGUUAACAGUUCUUAAAGGUGGUGUGUCCGGAGUUUGUUCCUUCUGAUGGUCGGACGUCUUCAGAGUUUCUUCCUUCUGGUGGGUUCGUGGUCUCGCUGGCUUCAGGAGUGAAGCUGCAGACCUUCGCGGUGAGUGUUACAGCUCUUAAGGCGGUGCUUCUGGAGUUGUUCAUUCUUCCCCGUGGGUUAGUGGUCUAGCUGGCCUCAGGAGUGAAGCUGCAGACCUUUGUGGUGAGUGUUACAGCUCAUAAAGGCAGUGCAGACCCAAAAACUGAGCAGCAGCAAGAUUUAUUGCAAAGAGUGAAAGAACAAAGCUUCUACAGUGUGGAAAGGGACCCAAGUGGGUUGCCGCUGCUGGCUAGGACAGCCUGCUUUUAUUCUCUUAUCUGACCACCCACCCCCGUCCCACGCUCCCCCACAUCCUGCUGAUUGGUCCAUUUUACAGAGAUGGCCAUUGGGCGGUCCAUGGGACCUGGCGCCGCCGAGCAGGGGCGGUGUGUGUCGGGGAGGCUAGGGCAGCGCAGGAGCCAAUUGCCGGGGAGGAGGGGUGGCUCGCGCAUGUUCGGCUGCAGGUGCCGAGCCCUGCCCUGCGGAGGCGGCUGAGGCCCGGCGAGAAUUCCCGGCGCGGGCGGGCGGGCAGUACUGGGGGACCUGGCGCACCCUCUGCAGCUGCUGGCCCGGGUGCUAAGCCCCUUACUGCCGGCGGCCAGCAGCGCUGGCGGGCUGCUCCGAGUGUGGGGCCUGCGGAUCCCGCGCCCACCCGGAACUCGCGCUGGCCCGCUAGCGCCGUGCGCAGCUCCGGUUCCCGCCCACUCCUAUCCCUCUACACCUGCCUGCAAGCAGAGGGAGCUGGUUCCGGCCUCAGCCUGCCUAGAGAGGGGCUCCUACAGUGCAGCGGCGGGCUGAAGGGCUCCUCAAGCGCGGCCAGAGUGGACGCGGAGGCCGAGGAGGCGCCCAGAGCGAGCGAGGGCUGCUAGCAUGUUGUCACCUCUCAGUGGCAUGAUCUCCAUUCACUGCAACCUCCACCUCUCGGGUUCAAGCGAUUCUCCUGCCUCAGCCUCAUGUAGCUGGGAUUACAGGCACAAGCCACCACACCUGGCUAAUUUGUUUUGAAUUUUUAGUAGAGAGGGGGUUUCACCAUGUUGGCCAGGCCAGUCUUCAACUCCUGGACUCAAGUAAUCCACCUGCCUCAGCCUUCCAAAAUGCUGGGAUUACAGGCGUGAGCCAUCACGUCCUGCCCUGACCUCUGCUUUCAGCCACAAACUUAGGUAAAAGAAAGGUAGCUUUUGCUCAUAAAGUGAUUGGAGACAGCCUGUUGUCCAACAGUGUCUCCCUUAUUGGACCAUGACUUUUCCCAGGCAGGGGCCAUGUCUUAUUUGUGUGUAUAUUUCCAUCACCCAGCACAGCACUUGGCACGUGAUACAGGUUCAGUAUAUAUUUUCAAACAAAUAAAUUGAAGUGAAGAAUUGAGUCAAGGAGACAAGACCUUUGAAGGCCAAAAGAUCGAAGUUUGUGGUAAUGAGACAUCGAGCUCUGGUUUGAACUAAAAUCCUUUGAAGUGAAAAACCUCUUGAGUGGUUGUGAAACUUGAACUUACCAUAAAUAUCUCUUCGUAUUUUUUGAGCCGAUUAAUCCGUGGCUCCCAUAAAAUCUUCUGCAUAUUAAACAACAGGGUAAGAGCACCACGCCUUCCUCUGCCUCCACCGCCAACUUGGCGGAGACUAGACCCAAGGAUGCAGGAACUGUUCCUCUCCGUCUGAGCCUGCUGGGCUGAAUGGGCAUGAAGAAAGUUGGAGAACAGAACAUGCAAACCGGGUAUUAUCAUUUUCCAUCUGUGCUACCAUGUGAAAAAGGUUGGGAAACUCUACUGGAAACUGACCUCGCUCUUGGGACCCACCCUGCCAGGCAAAAGGGGUCUUCAGAUUGACAGAGCUGUACUCACGGAACUACACCCCAAGGAGGCUCAUCUGCAUCAAGAUCUGACUUAGAUGAUAAAAUCCUGGACCUCAAGCUUGAGUGGAUGCCAUAAUGGGAUGAGACUUUUGGGUCUUAGGAGGAGACACGUGUAUUUACCAUGUGGGAGGAAUGUAAAUAAUAUGCAAUCAGAGAGCAUACUGUGACAAAGAUGACUGCAAAUUCUUUGACCCUCUUCCUAUUAAGAGUUAUUGUCUUAUCUCCCUCCUCUUGAAUCCAAGCUGGCCCUGGGGAAUUGCUUGACCAAUAGAAUACACAGGAAGUGAAGUUUGGGACUUGUGAGAUUAGGGCAUUAGAAGCCUUGCAGUUCCUGCCUGGAUGUCUUGAAAAGUUUUCUCUUGGAAUACUCCUUUUUAGAAUCUCACUAUCCUGUGGAUUCUAAAUUCUGUGAGAAGCCCAAACCACACAGACUACAUAUAAAUCCUCAAUCAGUAGCCCCAGAAGAACUCCCAGUCCUCAGUGAACAUUGACUGGUGGCCAUAUGAUUUGUCAUCUCGGACAUCCAGCCCAGUUCAGCUUUCAGAUGACUGCAGCCCCAGCUGCCAUCUGACUGCAUCUGUGUGAGAGACUAUAGGUGAAAACUUCCCACCUGACCCAGUCAAUCCACAGAACCAUGAGAGAUCAUAGUAAAUUGUUUUAAGCCAUUAAAUUUUGAUGAUGGUUUGUUAUGUAACAAGAGAUAACCAGAUAAGGUUAAAUUUUAGAGGUCAACAGUCAUGGUUUCAAAUCUCAAGUUCAUCAUUUAUCAACUAUGUGAUUGUGGGCAAGUCACCUAAAAUAUCUGAGCUUCAUUUUCCUCAUCUAUGAAAUGGGAAUCAAAACAGAACCCACCUAAUGGGUUUGUUAUGGGAAUUAAAAGAGAGAAUGUAUGAAAAGCGACAAUAUAGUGACAGAAAGUGGGUCAGUAGGUAGUUACUAUGGUUAGUAAACCAGUGUGAGUCAUCUGCUUUUGUUGAAAGGUAGAUGAGAUGCUUGUGGCCAUGUGGGAAGAAUUAAUUUAAGAAUCUGGUCAUUUUACUAAGGACCUGAGAGUAAGGUUAGGUCAUUAGCAUCUUUGUAUUUGCUGUCCAUUUUUCUAUAAUGGACUAUAGGGGAUUUUGAUUCAUGGGGGAAAUGUUCUGAAAAAAACCUGGGCUCAGAAGAAAUAGAAACACUUGGCCUUUUAAAAUGGGGCUGUUAUGGUUCCAUAGACGGCACGUACCACCUCCACAUGCGCUGAGCAGGCCUAGCUCACUGAGGUCAUAGUGAGCAGUUGAGCAGACCCAGCCCUUGUUACAGUGAGACCAGAGGCACUAGCCUAGAGAGAAGGAGCAGGGGCUCUGAAGCCCCCUGGAGACCUAAGAUGCUGCUGCUGUCCACUGUAUGUGCAUGUAGAUGGGUGAGUGGGUGCUGGAAUUCCACAUGGGGUGAGGGCAAACUUAAAGAGGCUGGACCCCAGCCGAGAGGUUUAAAGGAAUGUCUUGAUGUUCAGCCCAUCACCAUACUGAUGUGCUCUGUGAGCUUUGUCACCCAUUCAUUUAUUUAUAUAGGCAUUCACUCAUUCAACAACCAUUUAUUGCAUGCCUCUAUGCACCAGGCCCUGUGCUAUGCUCUGGGGACACACGACACUUAAGAGACGGUUCCUCCCCUGUGAUCAUGAGGGGCUCAUGAACCAGCAGGGGAGACAGACAGGUAAACAGGAAGUAUGGCUAGGGGGUAAGUACCACAGUAGAGGGCGACAUGGGAGUGCAGAGGAGGGGCUCCAACUCUGGCAUCAACCUACUCCACCUUGGGAAAAAGUUCUAAACAGGGAAGCGAGUGAGGCAUGAGCUGCAUCUGGAAAAAGGGAUAGGCUUGGGAUUGACCUAGUGAACUGUAGGCGAAAGCCACCGACCAGAGGCACCGAAGGACAGGGCCACACUGGCCUCUAGGGGCCAUAGACUGGCACACUCUCAGGCAGCCCUGGAAUCUGGUGAGUCUGUUCCACAACUCCCAUGGGGCCUGCAGAGAGCAAGUGUCUCUCACAGGCACAGAUUAAAGCAAAACAUCUCAACUAUGUCUUGGUUUUGGCUCCACAGAUGACUUCUGUGUGGGCGAAUCUUCUUAAUGCGUUCUCUUACUUUUUAUUGUCCAUGCUGUAAAACGUUAAAAAAAAAAAAAAAAAGCUAAAAUAAACUUCCAGAGUUCAAAAUGGCAGACUGUGACUAGGGCCAAUGUCCUUUUCCUUCCAAUGUUGGUUUGUCUGCCAAGUGAUCUCAUACUUGCUUGGUGAGGCUCUGCCUCCUCGACUCCUAUCUUCUCUUUCCUCCACCUCCCCAUUCCCGGCCACAUGAGGUUCUCAUCAGCAUCAUUGUGGUCAAAGGACUAGGCCCUGGGGUGCAGUCUGCCCUGACUCUCUUUGGGGCUUGGCUGAGGGAAUUUACUUGUAUCCCGAUUUAGAAGCUGAAUUGCCUACAGAGGAUUGGGACCCAACAUGACAUUUUCUGUCAGUGACAGUAUAGAGCUCUCUAUUUCCUUAUCCAACUGAUUGUUUAGGACUAAGUUAGGAACUGCUUUCUCCCUGGAGUAAUCGCACAACAUGGGCCAGCCAUGGUCAAGUACAAUCUGAGUGUAAUGUUCAUCAGCAUCAGUUGGUGAGGGUCCUAGUUCUAGACUGAGAGCUCCUUCAGGGGAGGAAGCAGACUUUUGCCAAUUUCCCAACACUAGCCAGCUCUGUGACAUCUGGAAGGGGCUCGGUGGCAGUUGUUGAAUUUAAUCUGGAUACCACCCAGGCAGGCAACAACCCUCUGGUUCACCUUAUUAUGAGAGAGGCAGUCUCUUCUACAACCAAAUACUAAUAAUGAUAAUGGUAACAAAACACUAUUACUAUUUAUUGAGCCCUGAUGCUUUGUCAGAUACUAGGAUAGGCACUUUAUAUCCUUUACCUGAUUUGAGAGCCAGAAUCUCUGGGUGUAUAGGUUUCACCGUCCUCGUUUUACUGAUGAAGAAAUGAAAUCUCAGAGAGGGUAGGCAGUUUGCAACAGCCUGGUUGUUGGGGCUCAGAAUCUUGGACAGUCCAUUAUGAAGACCCUGACUCUUUUUUAUUUUUGCUUUUUUUGAGACGGAGUUUUACUCUUGUGGCCCAGGCUGGAGUGCAAUGGCAUGAUCUUGGCUCACGGCAACCUCCACCUCCCGGGUUCAAGCGAUUCUCCUGCUUCAGCCUCCCGAGUAGCUGGGAUUACAGGCAUGCACCACCACACCUGGCUAAUUUUGUAUUUUUACUAGAGAUGGGGUUUCUCCAGGUUGGUCAGGCUGGUCUUGAACUCCCGACCUCAGGUGAUCCACCUGCCUCAGCCUCCCAAAGUGCUGGGAUUACAGGACCUUGACUGUUAUGCGUGAUGUUUUGUUGUAAAUGACUGCGCUAACACUGGUGGAAAGACCUAACCCUGCAGAAUUCCCCAGGUACCAGGCAGCUGGGGGACAAAUUUAUACUCAAGGUUCCUCUCAGGCAUCGCCUUUGUCUAGGGCAGACAUCUAGCUCUGUCUCCUUAUGGAGGACUGAGGGAGAAGCAGGAAUCAGGCUUAUGCAGUCGAAGGCUCAGUUUUAGUGCCCAAGCAGCAAAGAGAUAAAUGCCAUCCUAGUUCCCACUUAAAGUAAGCAGACAAGCCCUGGGGCUCACAUGGACAGGAGGAAGCUGAGGGAUUCAGUAAGUCUGUUUAUUUUGGUUUGUAUUUGACCUUGCAUUACAUUCACCAAGCAACUCCCAGUGAAUGCAGAAACCUUUCCUCUGCCUCGGGAACAUUUCCAUACAAACAGGAACACAGCACAGAUGACAAAAAUUAAGAUGUACUCUCCAGCUUGCCUUGCUGUAUUAUUUAAAACAAUUACUGUAUGAUUUUCGUUUCACAUAGCCAUGGAAACCCUGCUGAAAGGAUUUAAUACAAUUUAUUGUGUGAAGCUUAAGAAGAAAUCUGUUUCCCCGGUGCUGGAAAACAAAGCAAGCCAGUUUCUCCUCACUUCCUACAAGGUGUGAUGGACGCAAAUUGUGGACCGGUGACCUCACCCAGCAGGGACUGAGCUUUCUGGGAAAGCAUUCUGGAGAUAAGUGGACCUGUUUCUUUUAGAGGCAGCAGAAAACAAAGCCGGUGCCAGAGGAAUGAUAAUCUCCUUUGAUGUGCCCGGAACUGCUUGACUGUUUCAGAAAGGGAAGCACAGCUCUGAGUGGCAGUACUACAAUGCCUUUCAGUAAACACAAUAGACAAAUUUCCCUGCCAGGUUACCCCAGGAGCCUCUCCACUCACAGGAUCCUCUUAUAGGUAUCUUGGUGUCAGCGAUGGGAUCCUAGGAAGGAGAGUUGCUUGACACCACGCUCUGAUGAGAGGGUGGGCUCACUUUAGAGCCUAUUAGUACCAAUGGCACAGCUCAACCCUAUCUGCCUGUUAGAAACUCCUAAGGAUCUUCAGAAAACAUGGAAGCCUAAUUCCCAGAACUAAUUGAUUAUAUUAGAACCUGUAUUUUAAACAGCUCUCCAGAUGAUGAUUAUGUGCAGCUAGGGUUGAGAUCCACUGCUCUGGGACUUGAACUUCUUUAGGCUGAACUCUUUGUCUGUUUACUUUCUGAUUCUCAGCUAGAGACCCAGGGCCUGAUGAUCUGUAAACCUAGAAAGGCGGCUGUAGCACAAAACUCAUCUUUGCAGCUCAGCUCUUCAUCCCUAAAUUCAGUGGGUGAAGGGAAGAAUAUUAAAUUGCAGAAGAAUUCCCAAAAAUUGGGGAAGCUGGAUAAAGCGUUCACUGGACCUCUCUGCAGUGUUUUUGCAACUUCCUAUGGAAGCUAAGGCAGAAACACGAAGAGCAUGUGGAUUGGACAAUGGAGGUGGGAAGAAGACAAAGGGGAAUACACGUGUUUGGGUAAGGGGGUCACCCAACAAAGAGAGGUGCUCUGUUAAUUUUGGGGGAGAAACACUGAAUGCCAAGCAGGAGACAACCAAAAAUAAACUUCGCUGCCUCUCAGUUUUACCAAAGACUAAUAAGGCUUCUGGGGAUCUUCAGAGAUAGCAUGUGUAAGACCCCUCUGGGUUAUAUUCAACACCCCAAGUAUGAAUCCCCACUCAUACUUCCUUGCUGGGCUGCUUUGUGCUAGUUACUUAAUCUCUCUGAGCCUUAAUUCUCAUUUGUAGAUGGAGAUUGUCUUAUCUCACAGGAUCCCCAUGUGGAUGAAGGGGUGUGGUCCUGGAUAAGCUCUCAGUGAACAGCAGUUCUUAUUUCACAUGGUGGGAGAAGAGGGUCUGUAUGCUGCACCCUCCUGAAGUGACUUGGGCUUGGCUGCUGCUUUUGAAAGACACAAAUUGUUACUUGUCAUUUGAUAGCCAAAAGGUGCUCCCUGCAACUGUGCUUAAACAUUGUCUUAUGUUAGUUAGGACACAAGGCUGGCCUGCUAGGCCUUGGAAAUGGGUGUGUCAGUGAGUUUAUGCCACCUUCCCAUAGUGGCAGAGGUGGGAAGGAAGCUGGCAGGUGAAGGGUUACAUAAGCAAAAGUGGGCAGUACCCACCUACGUGUGUUGGCACCGGCAUCGGUUCCCUUGGAGGUGGUUCCUUCUGCCCUAGAAUGACCCUGUUGGAGUCAGAUCAACUGAUAAUCAAAGCCCUUUACAAAAACAAGGUCAGCCCCCUGCAAAGAAAGCUCCAUUUCCAGUGGGGCCAAGGUCCUGUUUAUUUCAUCUGUGGCUUUCUCAGUUUAGUAGGAUGCCUUUGAUAAGCUGCAGUCAGCACCCCCAGUGACCCUUAAUGACAGCCUGACUCAGCCAAAUGCUUCUGGUCUCAGGUUAUGGAUGAAUACCCACUGAACUCUGGAUACAGAUCUCUGAGGCUGUGCAGAUUUCACAUCCCUCUUGAAAAAUGAAGUGACAAAGUCCCUGUUUAAUUCAGGCCCUUGCCACUUCCCCAUGUCAUACAUUCUAGCCUUCAAUUAUGGCUUUUGGAGAAAUGCUUCCACAAUGAUGGUUCUGGUGCUUGCUAAUAAAUUUCCAUGAUCUGUUCAUCUUCUUAAGGAGGCUCAGUUGAGUCAGGCUCAGCUAACCAGGGGAGCUGGGAUAAGCCCUCUCUACAUUCUCAGACAUGAUAGAGGAAAGUUGUGCCCUCCAAGAAGGUUGUUAAUUGAUGGUCAUCCUCUUAGCUUCUUUCAGACUUCUUUCAUUACAUGUGGUCCACAUGAAAAGUAUUAUUUCUCUAUCUCAAACUGGAGGGAGUAGAAUAGCUUUGGCUAAUGUUUGAGUGUUUGUUCAAAGUCAGGUGCUGGUCUAAGUGCUUCUCAUGAAUGAACUCACUAAUCCUCAUCUGCCCAGAGGUAGCUGAUAUAAUUAUAUUUGCUUUGCAGAUGGAGGAAUGAGGCACAGAGCAGUUGAGUAACAUGACUUGUAAAUGGUGCUACCAGGUCCCAAAGCCAGGUGCUCAAACACGAGAACUCAUGCUUUUACCUAGAGCACUGAGCUGCCAAUCAUUAUUGCUUGGGAUUUAACAAUGACCAAGUAAUAUAAAGCCCCUCCCUGUCAGGAGUAGGGCCAGAAUUUCCACUUAGGCAGAGCUAGAGGCAACUGUGGGGUAAAGGGGAUGACUAAGAGGCUUGCCCUAAAGCUGCUUUUUCACAAUUUACAUAAAACUGAGAACAUGUUCAUGACCCACAUUGCUAUGGUUUGAAUGUGUUCCCCAAUGUUCAUGUGUUGGAAACUUAAUCCCUAGUGCAAAAGUGUUUAGACGUGGGACCUUUAAAAGGAAGGUGAUUAGGUCAUAAGGGUUCUGCCUCCAUGAAUGAAUUAAUGCUGUUGUUACAUGAGUGGGUUAGCUAUUGUGAGAGUGGGUUCCUGAUAAAAGGAUGAGAUUGACCUCAUUUUCUCUCAUGUGGACACAUGCUCUCUAGCCCUUCUGCCUUUGCCGUGGGCUGACACAGCAAGAAGGCCCUCACCAAAUGCAGCCCCUCUAUCUUGGAAUUCCCAGCCUCCAGAACCAUGAGCCAAAUAAAUUUCUUUUCUUCAACAUAUUAUCCAGUCUCAGGUAUUCCGUUAUAGCAGCAGAAAACAGACGAAGAUACAUGUCAAUGAAUGGGGGUACGUGUCUGAUGUGCUAAAGCCCUUCCUUUCAUGCACGUCCCUGUGAAGAGACCACCAAACAGGCUUUGUGUGAGCAACAUGGCUGUUUAUUUCACCUGGGUGCAGGCGGGCUGAGUCCGAAAAGAGAGUCAGCGAAGGGAAAUAAGGGUGGGGCCGUUUUAUAAGAUUUGGGUAGGUAAAGGAAAAUUACAGUCAAAGGGGUUUGUUCUCCGGCGGGCAGGAGUGGGGGUCACAAGGUGCUCAGUGGGGGUGCUUUUUGAGCCAGGAUGAGCCAGGAAAAGGACUUUCACAAGGUAAUGUCAUCACUUAAGGCAAGGACCGGCCAUUUUCACUUCUUUUGUGGUGGAAUGUCAUCAGUUAAGGUGGGGCAGGGCAUAUUCACUUCUUUUGUGAUUCUUCAGUUACUUCAAGCCAUCUGGGCGUAUACGUGCAAGUCACAGGGGAUGCGAUGGCUUGGCUUGGGAUCAGAGGCCUGACAUUCCUGCCUUCUUAUAUUAAUAAGAAAAAUAAAACAAAAUGGUGUUGAAGUGUUGGAGUGGCAAAAAUUUUUGGGGGGUGAUAUGGAGAGAGAAUGGGCGAUGUUUCUCAGGGCUGCUUCAAGUGGGAUUAGGUGCGGCCUGGGAACCUAGAGUGGGAGAGAUUAAGCUGAAGGGAGGUCUUGGGUAAGGGGUGAUAUUGUGGGGAUGUUAGAAGAAACAUUUGGUGAUGGCCUGGAUACGGUUUUGGAUGAAUUGAGAAACUAAAUGGAAUAACAGAAGGAGAAAAACAGGUAUAAAAGGUCUAAGAAUUGGGAUAACUCAGGAUAUCUGAUUAGAGAGUGCCUAAGGAGAUUCAGCAUAGUCCUGCCAGCAAAGAUUAUUUAUUUACUUCAAGAGUUAAGAGUGGCAGUUUGGGGAUAGCAUCAGGAGAUAUCAGCUGUGAUGGCUUGGAAAAACAGUGUAAACUGGCAGUGUAAACAAGAGCAGGGCAUGUAUGAGUAGUUGAGAAUGGUGAAUAGGAGUAUGACUAGACAGAAGAUAGUAGGGAUGACAAGUUUUUUUGGGGGGCACAGUCUAAGUUUGUCUGGUGUCUGGAAUGAGACUGGGGCCUAAUAAAAAGGAGCGUCUAUACAGGAGCUCAAAUGGGCUGUACCCUGUAGCAUUCCGAGGACAGGCCUGAAUUCUGAGAAGGGAAAGUGGUAAAAGUAUUGUCCAGUCCUUUUUAAGUUGGUGGCUGAGCUUGGUGAGGUGUGUUUUUAAAAGACCUUUAGUCCAUUCUACUUUUCUUGAAGACGGAGGACCGUAAGGGAUAUAAAGGUUUCACUGAAUACUAAGAGCCUGAAAAACUGCUUGGCUGAUUUGACUAAUGAAGGCUCGUCUGUUAUCAGACUGUAUAGAGGUGGGAAGCCUAAACUGAGGAAUUAUGUCUGACAGAAGGGUAGAAAUGACUGCGGUGGCCUUCUCAGACCCUGUAGGAAAGGCCUCUACCUAUCCAGUGAAAGUAUCUACCUAGACUAAGAGGUAUUUUCGUUAUCUGACUCAGGGCAUGUUGAGUAAAGCUAAUUUGCCAGUCCUGGGUGGGGCAAAUCCUGGAGCUUGAUGUGUAGGGAAGGGAGGGGGCCUGAAUAAUCCUUCAGGAGUAGUAGAAUAGCGGAUGGAACACUGAGAAGUUAUUUCCUUGAGGAUAGAUUUCCACGAUGGAAAGGAAAUGAGAGGUUCUAAGAGGCGGGCUAGUGGCUUGUACUAUAGCAUAGCCUGCCUUUGCUGGUGUGUGGCGAUUAGGCCUGGUGGAACCGCCAUCAAUAAAUCAAGCGUGAUCAGGGUGAGGAACAGGAAGGAAGGAAAUUUGGGGAAAUGGGAUGAAUGUCAGGUGGAUCAGAGAGAUAACAGUCAUGGGGGUCAGGUGUGGUAUCAGGAAUAAUGUGGGAGGCCGGAUUGAAGUCUGGGCCAGGAAAAACGUUAAUUGUGGGAGACUCAACGAAGACUGAGUAUAGCUGAAGGAGCCAGGAAGCAGAAAGUAUAUGCGUCAGGUAUGAGGAAGAAAAUAGAUUUUGGAAGUUAUGAGAACUAUAGAGAGUGAGUUGAGCACAGUUUGUGAUUUUGAGGGCCUCUAAAAGUAUUCAUGCAGCGGCAGCCGCUGCAAGCAGACAUGAGGGCUAGGCUAAAACAGUAAGGUCAAGUUAUUUGGACAGAAAAGCUACAGGGUGUGGUCCUGGCUCUUGUGUAAGAAUUCUGACCAUGCUAACCAUGCCUAGGAAGGAAAAGAGUUUUGUAGAAGGCGCUGGGGUUUGAGAGAUCAGUCAGACACGAUUGGCAGGGAGAGCACGUGUGUUUUUAUGAGAAUUAUGCCGAGAUAGGUAACAGAUGAGGAGGAAAUUUGGGCUUGAUUGAAGUAAUGGGAGCUGUCUGUGAAGCUUUGCGGCAGUACAGCCCAGGUAAUUUGCUGAGCUUGAUGGGUGUCAGGGUCAGUCCAAGGGAAAGCAAAGAGAGGCUGGGAUUAAGGGUGCAAAGGAAUAGUAAAGAAUGCAUGUUUGAGAUCUAGAACAGAAUAAUGGGUUGUAGAGGCAGGUAUUGAGGAUAGGAGAGUAUAUGGGUUUGGCACCACGGGGUGGAUAGGCAAAACAAUUUGGUUGAUAAAGCGCAGAUCCUGAACUAAAUUGUAAGGCUCUUCUGGUUUUAGGACAGGUAAAAUGGGGGAAUUGUAAGGAGAGUUUAUAGGUUUUAAAAGGCCAUGCUGUAGCAGGUGAGUGAUAACAGGCUUUAAUCUUUUUAAAGCGUGCUGCGGGAUUGGAUAUUGGCGCUGAGUGGGGUAAGGGUGAUUAGGUUUUAAUGAGAUGGUAAGGGGUGCAUGAUCGGUCACCAAGGAGGGAGUAGAGGUAUCUUAUACUUGUGGGUUAAGGUGGGGGAUACAAGAGGAGGAUGCAAAGGAGGCUUUGGAUUGGGAAGAAGGACAGCAAUGAGAUGCAGCUGUAGUCCAGGAAUAGUCAGGGAAGCAGAUAAUUUAGUUAAAGUGUCUCAGCCUAAUAAGGGAACUGGGCAAGUGGGGAUAACUAAAAAGGAGUGCUUAAAAGAGUAUUGUCUAAGUUGGCACCAGAGUUGGGGAUUUUAAGAGGUUUAGAAGCCUGGCCGUCAAUACCCACAACAGUUAUGGAGGCAAGGGAAACAGGCCCUUGAAAAGAAGCUAAUGUGGAGUGGGUAGCCUCCAUAUUGAUUAAGAAGGGGACAGGCUUACCUUCCACUGUGAGAGUUACCGAAGCUCGGCGUCUGUGAUGGUCUAUGGGGCUUCCGAGGUGAUCCGGCAGUGUCAGUCUUCAGCCGCUAAGCCGAGAAGAUCUGGGAAGGAGUCAGAGAGCCUUAGGCCAGAGUUCCAGGGGCUCUGGGAGUGGCUGCCAGGUGAGUUGAACAGUCCGAUUUUCAGUGGGGUCCCACACAGAUGGGACGCGGCUUAGGAGGAAUCCCGGGCUGCGGGCAUUCCUUGGCCCAGUGGCCAGAUUUCCGGCAUGUGUAGCAAGCUCCUGGGGGAGGAGGUUCUGGAGGAACGCCUGGCUGCUGCGGUUCAGGCGUUUGGAAGUUCUCUUGUGCUGGAGAUGUGGCUGGGGUUUGUCUCACAGUGGAGGCAAGGAAUUGCAACUUUUUUCUAUUAUUGUACACCUUAAAGGCGAGGUUAAUUAAAUACUGUUGUCGGGUUUGAGGGCCGGAAUUUAAUUUUUGGAGUUUUAUUUCAGAGCAGAUUGGGUAAUAAAAUGUAUUUUGAGAAUAAGAUGGCCUUUUGGCUUUUUAGGGUCUAGGGCUGUAAAGUGUCUCAGGGUUACUGCCAAACAAGUCACGAACUGGGCUGGAUUUUUAUAUUUGAUGAAAAAGAGCCUAAACACUAUCUGAUUCGGGAUAAAGAAAAAGGAGCAUUAACCUUGACUAUGCCUUUAGCUCCAGCCACCUUUUUAAGAGUAAAUUGCUGGGCAGGUGGGGGAGGGCUAGUCACGGAACGAAACUGUAAGCCCGACCAGGUGUGAGGAGGGGAGGCGAUAAAAAGAUUAUAGGGUGGAGGAGCGGAGGCUGAGGAAGAAUUGGGACCUAGCUCGGCCUGGUGAGGAGGGGAGAGGUCAGAUGGGUCUGUAGAAAAGGAAGAUUAGAAAGACUCAGCAACGCUUGGGGUUGGGACUGAGGGGACAGGCCGGAGGGAAAGAAGGAAGAUUUGGGACGAGUUGCAUUGGGCACAGAGACUAGGAAGGGACUGAUGUGUAAAAGAAUGCCUGGACAUCAGGCACCUCAGACCGUUUGCCUAUUUUACGACAAGAAUUAUUUAAAUCUUGCAGGAUGGAAAAAUUCAAAGUGCCAUUUUCUGGCUAUUUGGAACUACUGUCGAGUUUGUAUUGGGGUCAAGUGGCAUUGCAGAAGAAAAUAAGGCAUUUAGGUUUUAGGUCAGGUGUGAGUUGAAGAGGUUUUAAGUUUUUGAGAACACAGGCCAAGGGAGUAGAAGGAGGAAUGGAGGGUGGAAAGUUGCCUAUAGUGAAGUGAAGGAAGCAAGCCUAGAGAAAAGAGAGAGUAGAGAAACAGAGGGAAGGGGUUCGGGGGUUCUUACCUUCCAGAAAAGUGGGAAAAGGGGUUGGGGCGCAGAGAUAAGAGGUCAGGGCGUGGAAAUAAGGGAUGGGGUGCAGAAAUAAGGGGUUGGGGCAUGGAAAUAAGGGGUCAGGGCAUGGAAAUAAGGGAUUGGGGCACAGAGAUACGAGGUUGGGGUGUGGAAAUAAGGGAUUGGGGGUUCUUGCCCCCUAGAAAAGCGGGACUUGCCGCUAAGGGUGAAGGAGAAGGGGUUGAGGGGUACUUGCCCCUCCCCCAGAAAAGCAGGACUUGCCACUAAGGGUGAAGGAGAAGGGUUUGAGGGGUACUUGCCCCUGCCCCAGGAAAGCAGGGAAGGGGUAGAGACAAGGAGAGAAGGGGUUGAGGGGUACUUGCCCCUGCCCCAGGAAAGCAGAGAAGGGGUAGAGACAAGGAGAGAAGGGGUUGAGGGGUACUUGCCCCUCUCCCAGAAAAGCAGAGAAGGGGUAGAGACAAGGAGAGAAAGGGUUGAGGUACUUGCCCCUUCUCCAGAAAAGCGGGACUUGCCGCUAAGGGUGAAGGACGAAGGCAGGUGUCCCUGCGUGGUCUGACACCCUUGAAACGUGGGUGUAUAAUCAGAGAGGUGUCCCUGCAAUGAUUAAACACCAAGGGAAGCUGCCUUCCCAGUCUGUGACCAGCGCCGGAGUUUUGGGUCGACGGAUAAAACGUGUCUCCUUUGUCUCUCCCAGAAAAUGAAAGGAAUUGAAAUUAAGAGAAGGGAGAGAUUGAAGAAUGGAAAGAAGAAAGUGGUUGAGGGACAGUAAGAGAGGUUGGAGAAGAGAGUAAGAAGAGGCCGCUUACCGGAUUUGAAAUUGGUGAGAUGUUUCCUGGGCUGGUCGGUCGGAGGACCUGAGGUCAUAGGUGGAUCUUUCUCAUGGAGCAAAGAACAGGAGGACAGGGGAUUGAU